Molecule: long non-coding RNA, 1245 nt
Filed under: Carassius auratus (goldfish)
Lineage: Eukaryota; Metazoa; Chordata; Actinopteri; Cypriniformes; Cyprinidae
Description: lncRNA (ENSCARG00000014086.1)
Source: RNAcentral
AGUUUCACAAGACACAACAGGGAAGUACGUGUCUGCGCAUGCGCGAGUAAUCCUGCCUUAUUUCCUCUUCUUCUUGGCUUUUUACGGCGGCUGGCAAGCCAGCGUAGGUGCAUUACCUUCUGCUCCGGAAUGUGCAACAGAGAGUUACAUUCUACUUAUUAAUCCAGUCCUUUUAAUGGAAUUAUAGAAAGCUUUGCAGUUUAUUUCAGAUUUAAAAUGUACCACCUGAACUCCAUUCUUCUUGAUUUCAAUCAUAUAACUUCUUUCUUACUUAUAUUUCUCACAUUCAAGAAUUGCAUGGGUUACUGUUUCUUAUACACUGUUCAUGUACAGGUGCUGGUCAUAUAAUUGGAUUGUCAUCAAAAGGUGAUUUAUUUCACUGAUUCCAUUCAAAAAGUGAAACUUGUAUAUUAUAUUCAUUCAUUGCACAGACUGAAAUAUUUCAAAUGUUUAUUUAUUUUAAAUUUUGAUGAUUAUAACUGACAACUAGGAAAAUCACAAAUUCAGGAUCUCAAAAAAAAAAAUAGAAUAUUACUUAAGAUCAAUACAAAUAGAAAUCUUGUGGCAAACUGAAAAGCAUGAGCAUCUACUGCACUCAAUAUUUGGUUGGGACUCCUUUUUUUACAGCAACGCGGCGUGGCAUGGAGUUGAUCAGUCUGUAGCACUGCUCAGGUGUUAUGAGAGCCCAGGUUGCUCUGAUAGUGGCCUUCAGCUCUUCUGCAUUGUUGGGUCUGGCAUAUCGCAUCUUCCUCUUCACAAUACCCCAUAGAUUUUCUAUGGGGUUAAGGUUAGGCGAGUUUGCUGGCCAAUUAAGAACAGGGAUGGUCCUUAAACCAGGUACUGGUAGCUUUGGCACUGUGUGCAGGUGCCAAGUCCUGUUGGAAAUUGAAAUUUGCAUCUCCAUAAAGUUGGUCAGCAGCAGGAAGCAUGAAGUGCUCUAAAACUUCCUGGUAUAUGGCUGUGUUGACCUUGGACCUCAGAAAACACAGUGGACCAACACCAGCAGAUGACAUGGCACCCCAAACCAUCACUGACUGUGGAGACUUUACACUGGACCUCAAGCAACGUGGAUUGUGUGCCUCUCCUCUCUGUCUUACUCAUAAAGGCAGUCACUUGUCGCCACCUGCUGACGUAACGAUGAGCAGAAGGGACGUUUGGACCUGCUGCCAGCAGACUGUAACAGACAGAUGGGUUUUCACACAAACAACAGAAAACAUCAAGAGCAGUCAGCCUGGCACACACUGA